GUUAUGAUCAAAGCGCCAGGACCGAUUAUUUAAUCGGUUGACGAGGAGAGGGUUAAUCGAGCUUUCGGCGGAUUCCCUCCGGUAUUGCCACAACCGACAAGGUAUUUCAAAACCGCAAAGCAAUUUGCGGGACAAAAGAUAUCUGGUGGUAUAG
This 154-nucleotide non-coding RNA is filed under the name Desulfobacter sp. Its description in RNAcentral is "Desulfitibacter sp. GlcN6P sequence". It matches the Rfam family "glmS glucosamine-6-phosphate activated ribozyme aptamer". Rfam says of the family: This entry contains a glucosamine-6-phosphate activated ribozyme that is found in the mRNA for GlmS. Lineage: Bacteria; Pseudomonadati; Thermodesulfobacteriota; Desulfobacteria; Desulfobacterales; Desulfobacteraceae. The record is from RNAcentral.